This 447-nucleotide ribosomal RNA is filed under the name uncultured bacterium. Its description in RNAcentral is "bacterial SSU rRNA". It matches the Rfam family "Bacterial small subunit ribosomal RNA", at positions 330 to 793 of the family's 1533-position model. The record is from RNAcentral.
GCCAGACUCCUACGGGAGGCAGCAGUGGGGAAUAUUGCGCAAUGGGGGGAACCCUGAUGCAGCGACGCCGCGUGAGUGAAGAAGUAUUUCGGUAUGUAAAGCUCUGUCAGCAGGGAAGAAGAAAGACGGUACCUGACCAAGAAGCCCCGGCUAACUACGUGCCAGCAGCCGCGGUAAUACGUAGGGGGCAAGCGUUAUCCGGAUUUACUGGGUGUAAAGGGAGCGUAGACGGCAGGGCAAGUCUGGAGUGAAAGGCAGGGGCCCAACCCCUGGACUGCUCUGGAAACUGUCCGGCUGGAGUGCAGGAGAGGUAAGUGGAAUUCCUAGUGUAGCGGUGAAAUGCGUAGAUAUUAGGAGGAACACCAGUGGCGAAGGCGGCCUGCUGGACAGAAACUGACGUUGAGGCUCGAAAGCGUGGGGAGCAAACAGGAUUAGAUACCCUCGUAA